GUGAGGAAUUUUGCGCAAUGGCCGCAAGGCUGACGCAGCAACGCCGCGUGGGUGAUGAAGGCCUUCGGGUCGUAAAGCCCUGUCAGGUGGGAAGAAAGGCUUGGAGAAGCAACGCUUUGAGUUUGACGGUACCACCAGAGGAAGCACCGGCUAACUCCGUGCCAGCAGCCGCGGUAAUACGGAGGGUGCGAGCGUUAUUCGGAAUUACUGGGCGUAAAGCGCGUGUAGGCGGGGAUGCAAGUCUGAUGUGAAAGCCCUGGGCUUAACCUGGGAAGUGCAUUGGAAACUGCAUUUCUUGAGUACUGGAGAGGAAGGGGGAAUUCCCGGUGUAGAGGUGAAAUUCGUAGAGAUCGGGAGGAAUACCAGUGGCGUAGGCGCCCUUCUGGACGGUAACUGACGCUGAGACGCGAAAGCGUGGGGAGCAAACAGGAUUAGAAACCCCAGUAGUCC
RNAcentral lists this ribosomal RNA (450 nucleotides) under uncultured bacterium. RNAcentral's name for it is "partial 16S ribosomal RNA". It matches the Rfam family "Bacterial small subunit ribosomal RNA", at positions 354 to 796 of the family's 1533-position model. The record is from RNAcentral.